Molecule: ribosomal RNA, 497 nt
Filed under: uncultured bacterium
Lineage: Bacteria
Description: partial 16S ribosomal RNA
Rfam family: Bacterial small subunit ribosomal RNA
Source: RNAcentral
GAUGAACGCUGGCGGCGUGCCUAAUACAUGCAAGUCGAGCGAACAGACGAGGAGCUUGCUCCUCUGACGUUAGCGGCGGACGGGUGAGUAACACGUGGAUAACCUACCUAUAAGACUGGGAUAACUUCGGGAAACCGGAGCUAAUACCGGAUAAUAUAUUGAACCGCAUGGUUCAAUAGUGAAAGACGGUUUUGCUGUCACUUAUAGAUGGAUCCGCGCCGCAUUAGCUAGUUGGUAAGGUAACGGCUUACCAAGGCGACGAUGCGUAGCCGACCUGAGAGGGUGAUCGGCCACACUGGAACUGAGACACGGUCCAGACUCCUACGGGAGGCAGCAGUAGGGAAUCUUCCGCAAUGGGCGAAAGCCUGACGGAGCAACGCCGUGUGAGUGAUGAAGGUCUCCGGAUCGUAAAACUCUGUUAUUAGGGAAGAACAAAUGUGUAAGUAACUAUGCACGUCUUGACGGUACCUAAUCAGAAAGCCACGGCUAACUACGUG